GCUCCUUUAGGUUAGCGGCGGACGGGUGAGUAACACGUGGGCAACCUGCCCUGCAGACUGGGAUAACUUCGGGAAACCGGAGCUAAUACCGGAUAACACCGAAAACCGCAUGGUUUUCGGUUGAAAGGCGGCUUUUACCUGUCACUGCAGGAUGGGCCCGCGGCGCAUUACCUAGUUGGUGAGGUAACGGCUCACCAAGGCAACAAUGCGUACCCAACCUGAAAGGGUGACCGGCCACACUGGGACUGAAACACGGCCCAAACUCCUACGGGAGGCAGCAGUAGGGAAUCUUCCGCAAUGGACAAAAGUCUGACGGAGCAACGCCGCGUGAGCAAAAAAGGUCUUCGGAUCGUAAAGCUCUGUUGUCAGGGAAAAACAAGUACCGUUCGAACAGGGCGGUACCUUGACGGUACCUGACAAGGAAGCCACGGUUAACUACUUGCCAGCAGCCGCGGUAAUACGUAGGUGGCAAGCGUUGUCCGGAAUUAUUGGGCGUAAAGCGCGCGCAGGCGGUUCCUUAAGUCUGAUGUGAAAUCUCGCGGCUCAACCGCGAGCGGCCAUUGAAAACUGGGGAACUUGAGUGCAGGAGAGGGAAGCGGAUUUCCACGUGUAGCGGUGAAAUGCGUAGAAGAUGUGGGAGGAACCACCAGUGGCGAAGGCCGGCUUCUCUGGCCUGUAACUGACGCUGAGGCCGCGAAAGCGUGGGGAGCGAACAGGAUUAAAUACCCUGGUUAGUCCACGCCGUAAACGAUGAGUGCUAAGUUUUAGAAGGGUAUUCCACCCCUUUAGUGCUGCAGCAAACGCAUUAAGCNCCUCCGCCCUGGGGAANUACGNCGCAAGCCUGAAACCCAANGNAUUGACCGGGACCCGCNNAGCGUGAGCAUGUGUUUAAUUCGAAGC
Molecule: ribosomal RNA, 900 nt
Filed under: Geobacillus sp. SP87
Lineage: Bacteria; Bacillati; Bacillota; Bacilli; Caryophanales; Anoxybacillaceae
Description: bacterial SSU rRNA
Rfam family: Bacterial small subunit ribosomal RNA
Source: RNAcentral